AUUAAAUGUAUAAACGGGGUGUCCAAAGUUCAAUCAAUAACCCUGUACAAGGUUCGAACGUGAAAACUACAAAUGUAACAAAAAGUCGCAGAAGUGCAUGGUUUUUUCACAAGUUAUUUUAUUGGUUUUUAAUUUUAUUUAGGCAACGUCUAAUUUACCUAUUUUUGAAUCCACUUUUGAUAUCAACAUGUUUAUAUCUGGGACAUUGGCAAAAAAAUCAAACCACGGAAAGCUCUAAUGAUUGUUUUAUGGAAACAAACAUUUAUUUAUACUCCGUUACAAUUAUUUCCAAUUUCCCAAAAACAAUCCGGAGUAUGCGUCUUGUAACAAUAAUAAAACAUUAAAAACAUUUUAUUUAAGUUUAGCUGUUUGCAGGAAUGGAUACGGUUCUGUACAAGAAGCGGAUUAUUCCGAAUUACCAAAUUCCAAGUUUAAUUUAAGCGAGCUCGUCUGUGUUAUUCGGAAAGUUCAUUUCAAUUGCUUUAUCCUCACGAAUGCUAACAUUUUUACAUUGUAUCAAAUACGAGUGCACUCCCUGGGAAAGUGCGGUAAAGGUUUUUUUACUUCAUUGAGAGCUUUAAGGAACUUAGAAGCACUAAACAUAUAUUAAAAAGCUUUACAAUUGGCCACAAAUGAGGAAAGCGGAUAAUACUAAAUACGGAACUGUAGUAGUGCAAGAAUCAGGAAUCGAAUUAAGAGAGCGCAUAGUUCGAAACCUCCUGCUGCAUGUUGGUCUCCUGAUAAAUGCGCUCGAGUUUUAGCAACCAUGUGUAACCGUAUUACGUCAUACGUGAGGAGUCCUCCACAUAUGUGUGGGAGCCCCAGAGUAGUCGGUUUUACCUAGCAUACAGACGCUAUCAGAGAUACAUAAAUUGGGUUUGGGUUGCUGGGGAUGAUCCUUUUUUCCGGUAUUGUUUAGUAAUUCAAGGUUCACGGGGGCAGAAAAAGUGAUUUUUUCGAAAAAAUUAAACAUAUUUUUCCCAACUCGAUUCUAAAACGACUUCGGUCCACGAUAGAAAGAACUCUCUUCUCUGAAUUAGGAAACUUCAUCAGCUACAAAUAAAUACGAUACUUUGUAGUAAGUAGCACGCACGAUUUGUGCACAAAGUCAGUGGUGUCCUCCUGCCUCUCUUAGCAUAUUAGGAGGAAAUCCGGCCGGGCAGAACCAAAUUGGUGCCAAGGAAACAGAAAAUACCCCAAGCUUCGACUAGCAGAGUUAAGUUUAUUCGGUCUCAGUUCAACUGAUGGUCGCAGCUCCUUUCAGUUAUGCUGUCCUGGUUCAAAUGGAGUCGCUCUGUGCGCGAAAACUGACUCGCGCUCGGAGGCUUGCUUGCAAGUGACGGAAGAAGGAGUGAGUGUGGGUGGUGUGGGCUCUGCCUGCACAGCAACUCCUUUUUCAGGUGUGGGCCGCCCUGCUUCGUACGAUACCGAAUUAAAUUAAAUCCAAGAUGAUGGUAUUUAAUUUUGUAGUCAUCCUACUUGAAUGCAGUUCCACCAUCCGGUUUUGUAGCCAGGUGGAGGAAACAAACCAUUCAGGAAACUGUUCUUUCAACUAUUUGUUAGACCAAAAAUAAUAUGAUAUAUAAAAAUUA
This is a long non-coding RNA of Dendroctonus ponderosae (mountain pine beetle), 1592 nucleotides long. RefSeq lists it as uncharacterized. The transcript is spliced from 2 exons. NCBI's taxonomy places the organism in Eukaryota, Metazoa, Arthropoda, Insecta, Coleoptera, Curculionidae. The record is from RefSeq and is a predicted model, not a curated record.